RNAcentral lists this ribosomal RNA (253 nucleotides) under uncultured bacterium. RNAcentral's name for it is "partial 16S ribosomal RNA". It matches the Rfam family "Bacterial small subunit ribosomal RNA", at positions 524 to 776 of the family's 1533-position model. The record is from RNAcentral.
UACGUAGGUGGCAAGCGUUGUCCGGAUUUACUGGGCGUAAAGAGCGCGCAGGCGGUUGAUUAAGUCGAAUGUGAAAGCCCCCGGCUCAACUGGGGAGGGUCAUUCGAUACUGAUUGACUUGAAGGCAGGAGAGAGAAGUGGAAUUCCCGGUGUAGUGGUGAAAUGCGUAGAUAUCAGGAGGAACACCGGUGGCGAAGGCGGGUCUCUGGGCCGAUACUGACGCUGAGGAGCGAAAGCGUGGGGAGCGAACAGG